Molecule: ribosomal RNA, 253 nt
Filed under: uncultured bacterium
Lineage: Bacteria
Description: partial 16S ribosomal RNA
Rfam family: Bacterial small subunit ribosomal RNA
Source: RNAcentral
UACGUAGGGUGCGAGCGUUAUUCGGAAUUACUGGGCGUAAAGCGUGCGCAGGCGGCGCGUUAAGACAGGUGUGAAAGCCCCGAGCUUAACUUGGGAAUUGCGCUUGUGACUGGCGUGCUGGAGUGUGGCAGAGGGAGGUGGAAUUCCACGUGUAGCAGUGAAAUGCGUAGAGAUGAGGAGGAACACCGAUGGCGAAGGCAGCCUCCUGGGCCAGAACUGACGCUCAGGCACGAAAGCGUGGGGAGCAAACAGG